UAGGGAAUAUUGGACAAUGGUUGCAAGACUGAUCCAGCCAUGCCGCGUGCAGGAAGAAGGCCUUCUGGGUCGUAAACUGCUUUUCCCCGGGGAUAAAAGGACCGUGCGCGGUAAAUUGAAGGUACCGGGGGAAUAAGCCACGGCUAACUACGUGCCAGCAGCCGCGGUAAUACGUAGGUGGCAAGCGUUGUCCGGAUUUAUUGGGUUUAAAGGGUGCGUAGGCGGCCCUGUAAGUCAGCGGUGAAAUACGGCAGCUCAGCUGUCGAGGUGCCGUUGAUACUGCGGGGCUUGAGUGUUGAUGAGGCAGGCGGAAUUGACGGUGUAGCGGUGAAAUGCUUAGAUAUCGUCAAGAACACCGAUUAGCGAAGGCAGCUUGCCAAGCAACAACUGACGCUGAGCACGAAAGUGCGGGGAUCAAAACA
Molecule: ribosomal RNA, 422 nt
Filed under: uncultured Ohtaekwangia sp.
Lineage: Bacteria; Pseudomonadati; Bacteroidota; Cytophagia; Cytophagales; Fulvivirgaceae
Description: bacterial SSU rRNA
Rfam family: Bacterial small subunit ribosomal RNA
Source: RNAcentral